Long non-coding RNA from Octopus sinensis (East Asian common octopus), 100 nucleotides. RefSeq lists it as uncharacterized. The record is from RefSeq and is a predicted model, not a curated record. NCBI's taxonomy places the organism in Eukaryota, Metazoa, Mollusca, Cephalopoda, Octopoda, Octopodidae. The transcript is spliced from 3 exons.
CUCUCUCUCUCUCUAACUCAUAUGGUCUGAUGAAAGUAACUAUGAGGUAACACAGUACAUGUAUUCAAUCAACAUAUAAACUUAAUGUAACUGGUUUCUU